This 144-nucleotide ribosomal RNA is filed under the name Amycolatopsis azurea. RNAcentral describes it as "partial 23S ribosomal RNA". The record is from RNAcentral. Lineage: Bacteria; Bacillati; Actinomycetota; Actinomycetes; Pseudonocardiales; Pseudonocardiaceae.
CCGAGUGGGUUAGAGUCCCCUACGCGAAAACACGUUUUGGAUUUUGUGUCUGGGUUUCCCCAGUAGCAGCGAGCUUGUGGAAUUUGCUGGUAAUCUGCGGGACCACCCGGGAAGCCUAAAUACUUCCUGAAGACCCAUAGCGGA